CUGACUAAUGUUUUUACCAUAAGCCGGAUGAAGAAUCCUGGAAAACCUGGAGGCUUGCACAGUGCUGCGGAGUUGUCACGGGGUUAAUCGAAGGAUCACCCGCCUUUGGAUCCAGAGAUUGUUUCUGUUCUUACGAAUCAACACAGCGACCUCCUACGUAUUGGAGACGUAUUCUCUGUUUUUUCCACAAGAGGGAACACACUGAUGUUAGCCUGCUUAACAAGACGAAAUCCUGGCUGAAGGUGGAAUGGCAAUCACAGCAGCAGUAAUGAUUAUGGAGGUGUUGACCCUGGUUCUUGGCAGCCUGAGCCUUUUGCUGCUCGUUCUGUGCGCUGGAUUCGAUUGCUGGAAGCAAGAUGCCAAAGACCCCCUCUCUUCCGUGGGCCUGAGUGUCCGGUGCCGUGGACUGUGGAGCGAGUGUAUCUUUGACAACGUGGCCGACCUCUGGACCUGUGACAUCCCAAUUUCUUAUCUCAAUGAACAUCCAGCUGUUCUCGUGGUCACCCGGGUCUUGGUGAUUCUGUCUGGGCUUCUGUCUUUUUCUGCCAUGCCAGCUUUCGUUGCCGGGAUGAGUUGCACCAAGCUUUUCCCCGACACACACACACGGAAACGCACAUUUUCUCUCGCUGCUGGAACCACCUUUCUCCUGGGCGGUAAGUGUCACCUCAACCUUUUCCUACGGUACGGAGCUAAGUGUGAUUUUUUUUUUUCUUGGUGA
This 718-nucleotide long non-coding RNA is filed under the name Pogona vitticeps (central bearded dragon). Its description in RNAcentral is "lncRNA (ENSPVIG00000005967.1)". The record is from RNAcentral. Lineage: Eukaryota; Metazoa; Chordata; Lepidosauria; Squamata; Agamidae.